UACGUAGGGUGCGAGCGUUGUCCGGAAUUAUUGGGCGUAAAGGGCGCGUAGGCGGUCUGUCGCGUCGAAAGUGAAAACUCAGGGCUUAACCCUGAGCCUGCUUCCGAUACGGGCAGACUAGAGGUAUGCAGGGGAGAACGGAAUUCCUGGUGUAGCGGUGAAAUGCGCAGAUAUCAGGAGGAACACCGGUGGCGAAGGCGGUUCUCUGGGCAUUACCUGACGCUGAGGAGCGAAAGUGUGGGGAGCGAACAGG
This 253-nucleotide ribosomal RNA is filed under the name uncultured bacterium. RNAcentral describes it as "partial 16S ribosomal RNA". It matches the Rfam family "Bacterial small subunit ribosomal RNA", at positions 524 to 776 of the family's 1533-position model. The record is from RNAcentral.